GUCUCUGGUGAGGAUUGAAAAUAAACUUUCGUUCUUCCGAUGCUACCAAUGAGGACAAGUGUUUGUGAUUGUCUGAGGAGGC
This is a small nucleolar RNA of Telopea speciosissima, 82 nucleotides long. RefSeq annotates it as small nucleolar RNA Z159/U59. The record is from RefSeq and is a predicted model, not a curated record. Lineage: Eukaryota; Viridiplantae; Streptophyta; Magnoliopsida; Proteales; Proteaceae. The transcript has a single exon.